This is a long non-coding RNA of Gorilla gorilla gorilla (western lowland gorilla), 3405 nucleotides long. RefSeq lists it as uncharacterized. Lineage: Eukaryota; Metazoa; Chordata; Mammalia; Primates; Hominidae. The transcript is spliced from 4 exons. The record is from RefSeq and is a predicted model, not a curated record.
CCGCCCGUGACGUAAGCUCCAGACGCCUGAGAAGUGGAAGGACCCGGCGUCCAGGACAGGAAAGUGCGUGAUUUACAGCUAGAGGGGUAGGCGCUGUCCCGGAGCCCGUCCUGGGCCAGGGAGCAGGAGAGGGAGGGACUACAGUUCCCGACGCGCUGCGGCGGAGAUCGUGCGCUUCGGCGCCAGUUGCACGGCCUUAGCAGCCAGUGGCGGCUCCCCUGCUCCUGUAACAGUCCCCUUGUCUUCUGACCUUUCGCUCCUCGGUCAUGUGUCCACGCCGGUCGCCGCGGCAGCCCGUGAUGCCCGAGCGGCGGGUUCCCAGGCCCAGGUGUGGGCGCCACCGCCCACCAUGCUCCAAGGCCAGAGCCUGGUUGAAUCGUUCGCCGCCUUGUCCACCCAUUUUGGCCAUUAUCCUGCCACCUCCAAAUCCUGUUUUUGACACCUCUCGGGAGAGAGAGAAAACGGAAAGAUAAAGGAAUAAACUCCUCGUGGUCGUAGUUAGUGGGUAAAUUCAGAUCUCGUUUGAACCGAGGUUUUUCUUAUCUCCAGCCACCGUAUCCACCACCACCAGAAUCGUCUUUUUAGUCAUCACAGCUGGUCGCCGUCAGGACCUUGUUCAGAAGCCUGUCGCAGCUUCCAUCGUGUGGUUAUAAAAUCCAAAUUCCUUAUAAAGUCCAAAUUCAAGAGGAAGAAUGCACGUUUAGUUAAGUUAAUGUCUAGACCUUACCAGCCAAUUUCUAGCUCCUCAGUAUGGAAAUUGCAACUGAAAACACCCCUUCCAAAAAAAGCAGUCUGCAUUUUUCUCUGAGUUUUCUUCUCCAAAUUUCGCACCCCUGACCUUGCUUACACACUCUGGAUACCACCUGCUGUGGGGUGGCGAAAGCAGACAUCCAGCGAUAGCUAAGUUUCCUGUCGUUGACACCCAAGCAAGACAGGCGUGUACCUAACUGAGGACCUGCCGGUGAUAGAAGUCUCAGCUUUUCUCAGAGACAGAUGAGUCUUCCCUUUAAAUGCUGCAAAGUGCUGCAUAGUAGAUGUUAAAUGAAAGUCAGAAGGAAUCAAAUGUACUGCAAAUAAUCGAAGGCAAAGUCCCAAAUCAGAAUGCAGUCCCCUGGCCAGUGACCCUAGAGAUGACGCUGGCUCCGGCGGUGGCUCCAGGUUCCUGGCAGCAAGGAAGAACAAACUUAGAUCCCCCUGCCAAUAAAGUUACCUACAAGUUAUCCUUCUGAUUGAAAAACAUGAAAAGACUUACGGUAUUUCAGAGAACACGGUUGCUGAUGUUACCACCUGGGACCUGGCGCAAAGGUACUUACUUCCCUAACUCUUGUCCCCAGGGCCAGCCCUUGUCACUGCUGGUUGGGGUAACCCCUCAUUUCCUCUUGCCUCUGCAUUUGAAAGCACCGCCCCCUCCACCCAGACCAUUUGAGGUGGUCUCUCUGUCUACAACUGUGAGUGGCUGGCCAAAAUUAAUCUCUGGUAUGGAUAGAAGGAGAAGUGUCUGGAAGUCUAGAGUAUUUUUGAGUGUGUCAAUGAUGGUUGCAUGGCCACAAGGAAACUGGUGCAUAUCUGGGGAUACCAGGCUUGUUCUCUGAGCCUAGCGUGAAAGAAGUAGUGCCCUUCAGGGAAUGCCCUUGCCAAGCCACCCUUUCUGGUGGUCCGACGGGGAGAAGCUUGACAAGCCAAUCUUUACAGUGGUACCAUCACCCACAUUCCCAGGCCCUUGAUGCAUGAGGGUGGGCACUGCCUGCUGCUGGGGCUUAUUUUGCUAAGGUGUUGGCAUCCUGUUGAGGCUCCCCCAAUACUUGGAGUAUCAACAGCACAGGGAGAGAGAGGGAAGGAAGGGAGUGAGCUCAGUUAGAUUAUCUUUCAUGAGCUGGCAUAAUCCACAUGCCACAGAACAUGAGCGGGACCCAUCUGAGAUCAACCACUGAAAAUAAAUCAGGGGUUAGGCAACUAAAGAUACAGAGACACUGGAAUCUGCGAUUGAGUCAUCUGAAAAAUAAAACUACCCACUGUCGACUAAAUCAUGUAAAUUGUGCUCAAACGAGGCUAGGGUUGGAAUAUGUUGGAAAUGUAAGCAAUUAAAGGAGCACCUGCAAGAAGAUUGGGUCAGAUAACAUUUUGGAAGUCCUGGUGCAUGGUGGGUGAAAAAAACAACAAAACUGUUGCUUUAAAAUGCAAGCAUCACACUGUGAAAAACUGGGGACAUGCAUGACUCCCUUUGCUGCCCCAAACCUACAAGAGAGUAUGUCAGAGACCAUUCCAGCAAGUGAAGGCAUCAGGCCUGGGGCUGGUUCUCCACAGCCCAAACCAGCCUGCAAGUGAACAACCAGGGACUGAACCUUUCUGGGACCUCCUGCAAUCAGAGCUUUACAAAGUGACUGAAAUCGCUGGGGAUGGGCUUCAGUGAUGGAGCAAGUCAAACAUCUUUAUCUGCCCACUGAGAGGAGAAAAGUUGGAGACACAAAUGGCCCUGAAAGUCAUAAGCUGAAACUGUUGGUCUGUUUUUUUCCCCUCUGGAUGAGGAAUGGCUGAGCCCCUGAGCAUGUGUCUGGAACAUAUCUGGGAGGCUUACUCCCUUUGCUUCAAACCCAAUUUUAGAAAAAGUUGCCAACAAUAUAUGACUACGGAAAGUAGAAAAAAAUAAUGUGGGGAGAUUCACGUUUGAUUUCAGAAUUAUCAGGAUCACAAGGAUAGAGCCAGAUGUUGCCCAUCACUUAUUACAUCUUUCGGAACAUUCUGCAGAACCACAUUUCUGCCUUUUUUCUCUGCUGUCUGCAUUCCAGACACCCUCUUAGCUCACACAGUGCGCCGAGAACCUUGGGGCUGUGGUCACCCUGCUGAGACAGCAGGUCACAGGAACCCUUUGGCCACAUCUGCAUCCAUCAGUGUCCACAACAUCUUUCGUUUCUUGAGUUAGAUUUAUUUUAUGAUAAGCGGCUCAGGCGGAAUUCCAUUCUUGCUUAAGAUAGCCUCAAUUAGAAAUCAAGAGAUCUAGCCAUUGUUUUUUUUUUGUAUCAUUUAAACAGUUCCAAAAUAAUUAAUAUGUGGUUUGAUUCAUUUUUGUCACGGAUUCACUUAUUCAGCAGAUUUUAAUCACUGAUAUGGUUUGGCUGUGUCCCCACCCAAAUCACAUCUUGAACUGUAGUUCCCAUAAUCCCUAAGUGUCAUAAUCCCAUAAUCCCCGAAUACCAGGAGGGCAGUAACUGAAUCACGGGGGCAAUUACCCCCAUGCUGUUCUUGUGAUAGUGAGUGAAUUCUCAUGAGAUCUGAUGGUUUUGCAAGGGGCUUUCCCCCCUUUCCUCAGCACUUCUCCUUGCUGCCGUCACGUGAAGAAGGACGUGUUUGCUUCCCAUUCCACCACGAUUGUAAGUUUCCUGAGGCCUCUCCAGUCCUGCGGAACUG